GGAUAUUGACAUGAACAGAGCAAUGACCAUAUCAAGACACCAGAAGAAGACAACCAUCUAUAAGCCAAGGAGAGAGGCCUCAGAAAAAAUCAACCCCUUCGACACCUUGAUCUUGGACUUCUAGCUUCCAGAACUUGGCAUCCUAGGGAUUUGUCAGAACACUGUCAACAGAGGAAGACUCAGGAAAAGAAUGAAAAGUCCAGCUGCUCCCAGCCCUUUCCAGCCUCCAUUCAUUAUGCUUAAGUCUGUUCCUACAUAGUGGGCUGUUUCAUUGGGGCUGCAUGGUGUUUGUCCCUGACUGGAGUGGAAGUUUCAGAAGAGUGAGCUCUUGGAGAACUGAGAGUUAAGUUAGCCUCUUUACAAACUAAAUGGAUGUUUUUUCAUUGGAAACGAGUUCUUUUCUACACAACUUAUAUCUAGAAAGUCAGUUAGCCAGUAAAUAUAUGAGAUUCAAAAAAGGUCUGAAGGAAAUACGAAUGGUAGGGAGAAAGGAAGGCAGGCAGAGAAGUCAAGAUUUUGAAAAUCAGUAAAAACUAUUAUGAGCAAAAACAUUUCUUUUUGACCAGCUAACCGUUCUGUCAAACUAAGUUCUAGCCAGAUAAUCAUAGCUACUGCAUAAUAAUGGAAUUUUUUUUUAUUGUGCUGUGACAUGCCUGAAAUAAAUUUCAUUAGAACUGGUUAUUGAUAUGAGACUUAAGUAGCAGAGGAAGCUUGCUGUAAUCAGCCAAUGUUUUAGUAUUUUUCUCAG
RNAcentral lists this long non-coding RNA (748 nucleotides) under Homo sapiens (human). RNAcentral describes it as "novel transcript". The record is from RNAcentral. Lineage: Eukaryota; Metazoa; Chordata; Mammalia; Primates; Hominidae.